UGGUGGAGUGAUUUGUCUGGUUAAUUCCGUUAACGAACGAGACCUCGGCCUACUAAAUAGCAGACCGAACUCUUUGGGUUCGCGUCGGCUUCUUAGAGGGACUAUCGGUUUGCAGCCGAUGGAAGCACGAGGCAAUAACA
This 140-nucleotide ribosomal RNA is filed under the name uncultured eukaryote. RNAcentral describes it as "partial 18S ribosomal RNA". It matches the Rfam family "Eukaryotic small subunit ribosomal RNA", at positions 1299 to 1458 of the family's 1831-position model. The record is from RNAcentral.